RNAcentral lists this ribosomal RNA (406 nucleotides) under uncultured bacterium. RNAcentral's name for it is "partial 16S ribosomal RNA". It matches the Rfam family "Bacterial small subunit ribosomal RNA", at positions 29 to 526 of the family's 1533-position model. The record is from RNAcentral.
AUUGAACGCUGGCGGCAGGCCUAACACAUGCAAGUCGAGCGAGCGGCGGACGGGUGAGUAAAGUAUGUGGGUCUGCCCGAAGGCGGGGGAUAACUACUGGAAACAGGAGCUAAUACCGCAUACUCGAGGAUGUACCCAUAGGGGAUUAGCGAGUGGGUGGGGUAAAGGCUCACCUAGGCGACGAGCUCUAGCUGGUCUGAGAGGAUGAGCAGCCACACUGGGACUGAGACACGGCCCAGACUCCUACGGGAGGCAGCAGUGGGGAAUAUUGCACAAUGGGCGAAAGCCUGAUGCAGCCAUGCCGCGUGUAUGAAGAAGGCCUUAGGGUUGUAAAGUACUUUCAGCGGGGAGGUGUUACCCGCAGAAGAAGCACCGGCUAACUCCGUGCCAGCAGCCGCGGUAAUUC